Arabidopsis thaliana (thale cress) is the source of this 406-nucleotide long non-coding RNA. RefSeq annotates it as other RNA. The record is from RefSeq. NCBI's taxonomy places the organism in Eukaryota, Viridiplantae, Streptophyta, Magnoliopsida, Brassicales, Brassicaceae. The transcript has a single exon.
CCGCAAUUUGCAAAGCUAAAAAGUUGAUAGACAAUUUCACAUUUUGUCUCUGUCAUCAUUUAUUCCAAGCAUGCGCUGGUCCUUCAUUUCCAUUUCUAUCAUUUUCCAUCUAUUUAUUUCGAUUUGUUUAACGUUUUAUAGUUAUCAUUAUCAUACAAAAGUUUGAUAUAUGUCACACAAAUAAUUCAAAAGUUUGAAUAAACCAUUUUAUGUUAGUUACUUUGGUGUUAUCCUGAAAUAUACGCGGAUCCCGCUCUCCUUUUUGGUUCACCAAUCUUUGUUCAGCACUAUAUAAAUACAAAACCAAGAUCUAGCAAACAAAAGGCAAAAAUUUGUAUUUCGGUAACAAUAAAAUUUAGGCUAUGUAAUUUUAAUAAAUUUUCUAGGUAGACUAGAUUCGAGAUCA